RNAcentral lists this ribosomal RNA (253 nucleotides) under uncultured bacterium. RNAcentral's name for it is "partial 16S ribosomal RNA". It matches the Rfam family "Bacterial small subunit ribosomal RNA", at positions 524 to 776 of the family's 1533-position model. The record is from RNAcentral.
UACAGAGGUCCCAAGCGUUGUUCGGAUUCACUGGGCGUAAAGGGUGCGUAGGUGGCGAGGUAAGUCGGAUGUGAAAGCUCGGAGCUCAACUCCGAAAUGGCAUUGGAAACUACCUUGCUCGAGGGUUGGAGGGGGGACUGGAAUUCUCGGUGUAGCAGUGAAAUGCGUAGAUAUCGAGAGGAACACCAGUGGCGAAGGCGGGUCUCUGGACAGUUCCUGACGCUGAGGCACGAAGGUCAGGGGAGCAAACGGG